This 72-nucleotide transfer RNA is filed under the name Phrynosoma platyrhinos (Desert horned lizard). RNAcentral describes it as "tRNA-OTHER". It matches the Rfam family "tRNA". Rfam says of the family: Transfer RNA (tRNA) molecules are approximately 80 nucleotides in length. Lineage: Eukaryota; Metazoa; Chordata; Lepidosauria; Squamata; Phrynosomatidae. The record is from RNAcentral.
AGCCAUGUAGCCUAGUGGUUUGAACGUUGGACUAUGACUCUGGAGACCAGGGUGCAAUUCCCUGCUUGGCCA